UUUUUUUUUUGAAAUUACCAAAAUAUGAUAGCUUUCAUUUCCAUUUCAGUUCAUGACACUAGAUUAGUUACAACAUAGAACUCAGCCUUUACAAUCAGAAAGACCAAAUUUUUAUCCCUAAAAAAGGAAACCCUAACCUAAGAGCUAGUGAACUUCGUGACCGCCUUAGUACCCUCCGAAACGGCGUGCUUAGCAAGCUCUCCUGGCAAAACAAGUCUCACUGCAGUCUGGAUCUCCCUAGAAGUAAUGGUGGGCUUCUUGUUAUACCUAGCAAGCCGAGAGGAUUCCUGAGCAAGCUUCUCAAAGAUGUCGUUGAUGAAGCUGUUCAUAAUCCCCAUAGCCUUGCUGGAGAUCCCAAUAUCUGGGUGAACAUGUUUCAAGACCUUGAAGAUGUAGAUUUU
RNAcentral lists this unclassified non-coding RNA (401 nucleotides) under Hevea brasiliensis (rubber tree). The record is from RNAcentral. Lineage: Eukaryota; Viridiplantae; Streptophyta; Magnoliopsida; Malpighiales; Euphorbiaceae.